This 424-nucleotide ribosomal RNA is filed under the name uncultured bacterium. RNAcentral's name for it is "partial 16S ribosomal RNA". It matches the Rfam family "Bacterial small subunit ribosomal RNA", at positions 66 to 495 of the family's 1533-position model. The record is from RNAcentral.
ACGGCACGGGNGCUUNUCCUGCCGAGAGUGNGACGGGUGAGUAAUGCAUCCCUGCGUGCCCCCGUCGGGGGGNAAACGCAUGCCAAGGGACGCUAUUACCUUUAACCUCCUGAGGGAGAAUGUGGGGCCUUCUGCGACCCCUUUGGCGUGGGGGGAUGGCGAUGCGUUUUAUUUANUUGGGGGGGGGAUGGCCCCCCACCAGGAAAACGCUGGCUCGGGUGUAAGAGAGGAACGCCCCCCUCGGGGCUAAAAAAACACCCAACACCCUCCGGGGGGAGGCAGGAGGGAAUUUUUUUCAUUGGGGGAAACCCUCCCCAACCAUCCCCCCCGGGUGAAAAAAGACCUUCCGUUUGUAAAUUUUUUUUUUUGGGGAGAAAAGACCCGCCCAAUAGCAAGGGGGGAGGGACGCAAUGAAUAAAUAAAG